CAGCUCAGGCACCCUCUGCAGCCGCCGCUGCCUCGCUCCCAGCCCGGUCCCCAUGGAAGAGAUGGAAGAAGAGUUAAAAUGCCCCGUGUGCGGCUCCUUCUAUCGGGAGCCCAUCAUCCUGCCCUGCUCUCACAAUUUAUGUCAGGCGUGCGCCCGCAACAUCCUGGUGCAGACCCCGGAGUCUGAGUCCCCCCAGAGCCGUCGGGCUUCGGGCUCUGGGGUUUCCGACUAUGACUAUCUGGACCUGGACAAGAUGAGCCUGUACAGCGAGGCGGACAGCGGCUAUGGCUCCUACGGGGGUUUCGCCAGCGCCCCCACUACCCCGUGCCAGAAGUCCCCCAACGGCGUCCGCGUGUUUCCCCCAGCUAUGCCGCCACCGGCCACCCACCUGUCACCGGCGCUGGCCCCGGUGCCCCGCAACUCCUGUAUCACUUGCCCCCAGUGCCACCGCAGCCUCAUCCUGGAUGACCGGGGGCUCCGCGGCUUCCCCAAGAACCGCGUCCUAGAAGGGGUAAUUGACCGCUACCAGCAGAGCAAAGCCGCGGCUCUGAAGUGCCAGCUCUGCGAGAAGGCGCCCAAGGAGGCCACUGUCAUGUGUGAACAGUGCGAUGUUUUCUACUGCGAUCCGUGCCGCCUGCGCUGCCACCCACCCCGGGGGCCCCUAGCCAAGCACCGCCUGGUGCCCCCGGCCCAGGGCCGCGUGAGCCGGCGGCUGAGCCCGCGCAAGGUCUCCACCUGCACAGACCACGAGCUGGAGAACCACAGCAUGUACUGCGUGCAGUGCAAGAUGCCCGUGUGCUACCAGUGCUUGGAGGAGGGUAAACACUCCAGCCACGAAGUCAAGGCUCUGGGGGCCAUGUGGAAACUGCACAAGGUGAGUGCUAAGAAAACCCACCCCUAA
Molecule: RNA transcript, 901 nt
Organism: Galeopterus variegatus (Sunda flying lemur)
Lineage: Eukaryota; Metazoa; Chordata; Mammalia; Dermoptera; Cynocephalidae
Gene name: E3 ubiquitin-protein ligase TRIM9 pseudogene
Exons: 1
Source: RefSeq, a predicted model, not a curated record